AUGGGCUAUAGCUUGUCUUGUGUGUGCCGCCGACUUCGGAGUAACGGCAAGGAUUCAUUUUUGUUUUUUGGGUGCAAGUUGCAUUCCCAUUCCCUGAGUUGCAACUGCAUGCGGGCCAUGUCCACUAUAAUUGCAUAUCUGCCACUAGACUCGCAACUGCAAGGGUCGGCACCCGGCUGCAAUUCAUGUCCACCCCUGAGCUGCAUUUUCAUUUGGGUUAUAGCUUGUCUUGUGUGCCGCCGCCGGAGUGACGACAAGGAUGCUUUUUAUUUUUUAUUUUUUGGGCGUCAAUUGCAUGCCCAUUCCCUAAGUUGCAAUUGCAUGCGGGCCAUGUCGACUGCAAUCAGUGGCGGUGCCAGGAUAAAAUUAUGUGUGUAG
RNAcentral lists this ribosomal RNA (378 nucleotides) under Triticum aestivum (bread wheat). Its description in RNAcentral is "partial small subunit ribosomal RNA". The record is from RNAcentral. Lineage: Eukaryota; Viridiplantae; Streptophyta; Magnoliopsida; Poales; Poaceae.